CCCUGCCAUUUGUACACACCGCCCGUCGCACCUACCGAUUGGAUGGUCCGAUGAGACCUCCGGACUUUGCCGUGGUUUAUCUUCGGAUGGCUGCGGCGAGGGAAGUUGGUCAAAUCUUACCAUCUAGAGGAAGGUGAAGUCGUAACAAGG
This 150-nucleotide ribosomal RNA is filed under the name uncultured eukaryote. Its description in RNAcentral is "partial small subunit ribosomal RNA". It matches the Rfam family "Eukaryotic small subunit ribosomal RNA", at positions 1651 to 1799 of the family's 1831-position model. The record is from RNAcentral.